This is a long non-coding RNA of Myotis daubentonii (Daubenton's bat), 193 nucleotides long. RefSeq lists it as uncharacterized. The transcript is spliced from 2 exons. The record is from RefSeq and is a predicted model, not a curated record. NCBI's taxonomy places the organism in Eukaryota, Metazoa, Chordata, Mammalia, Chiroptera, Vespertilionidae.
GCUAUAUGUGAAUACAUAGCUCUUUGUAACAUUCUUCACUUGGAAGAUUGAGACUCUUCAAGAUACCAGUGUCCUGUCAGUUUAAGGGUACAUUGUAGAGCUGAACUUUGAGUUACUGGCCAAAUUUUUUUUUCAUGCUGUCAUUUGUAAUAUGUUUUGUAAGAAUCCCUGGGAUUAUAGUUUUGGUUACAAA